GGACUAAUAUGUCGGUCGUACUUUGUACGUACUAGCAUUAUUGGUUUCUCCCUUCUGACGAACCACGAUGUCAUUAAUUUGGUGUCAUGGGAAAUCAGGACUGUUACUUUGAAAAAAUUAGAGUGUUUAAAGCAAGCUCGCGCUUGAAUACAUUAGCAUGGAAUAAUGAAAUAGGACGUUUGAUUCUAUUUUGUUGGUUUCUAGGAUCGACGUAAUGAUUAA
This 222-nucleotide ribosomal RNA is filed under the name uncultured Glomeromycotina. RNAcentral's name for it is "partial 18S ribosomal RNA". The stretch from base 37 to 222 matches the Rfam family "Eukaryotic small subunit ribosomal RNA", at positions 685 to 872 of the family's 1831-position model. Lineage: Eukaryota; Fungi; Glomeromycota. The record is from RNAcentral.